This is a long non-coding RNA of Mesocricetus auratus (golden hamster), 4205 nucleotides long. RefSeq lists it as uncharacterized. The transcript is spliced from 4 exons. NCBI's taxonomy places the organism in Eukaryota, Metazoa, Chordata, Mammalia, Rodentia, Cricetidae. The record is from RefSeq and is a predicted model, not a curated record.
AGUGUCCAUUGAGCUUUGGGGAAAGUGGUGGCCUGGCCACGAAGGCUUCACUAUUAGGACAGACCUGGAGGAAUUACCAAUAGCUGCUGAGGAGUGAAGGGGAAACAGGGAAGUCAGAAGGAAAACACACCUACAUAACUGAUGUUAAAAUUCACAGCGGAGAUGCUGGCUAGCGACAGGAGCUGAAUUUUGAAUUCUGGGCUCUGAAAUUUUAUAAAUAUCUUUGUGCCCUCAAGUGAUUACGUCUGUGUUCUUGGUGGAGAAGAAGAGACUUAUAAUUUGUCCUUCUGGUGCUAUUCAUAUUAAGGACUCGGACCCCGUGGAGUUGGCUGUGUGAAUUGUUUAAGUCACUGAACUAAAAGCUACCUGGAGCCUUGUGGCAGCCGGCACAAAACCCGUCAUGCUUCCCUCUGCACACCUGACUAACAGCAACGUUCCUGAAAGUGGCUAUUCUGUUCAUGCAUGUAAGGAUGUCACAGAAUGGAAUCCCGGGCAGUACAUGUGCUCACAGAGCCUGUGUAAGUCAACCUCACUGGUUUAUAAAAGUGGGGCUUGGGGGCUGCUGGCUACUGCACACCGCCCCGAUCACCUGUUGCUUUGCUUGGACCACACACACACACACACACACACACACACACACACACACACACACACACACACACUUGCUUAAGAUCCUUGAGAGAGACUGUUAUCUGCGGUGGAAUCCUCAAUGACCUUUUCCAGGAAUGUGACUCUGACAUACAGUUUAAAACCUGCCCACUUUGGAUGUCUCAAGGCCAUUCUACUCCUUAAAUGAGUGAAACCUCUUCUGCUUCUUUCAUUUUCUUUGUAAUACAUGUGGCCAUGGGCUUGCAGGGUAUUGUUCACUUUGUAGUGGCACCCCAGAGGCUACACUGUGAAUACUAUGUCCUGGGUCAGCAAGGUUAUGGCCCCGUCAACCAGAGUCCAAGGAACCUCAUUGGAAAAUGAUCUUACUCAGUUUGUCUCAUAAAGAAGUUACAAUCACAUAUAAUAGUGAAGCAUAACAUAAACUCUCAGCAAAUUAUUAACUCAAUUAAUGUAGCUGUAACAAUAAGAUUUUGAUACUGAAGGCUUGCUUUUUGGACCCACCAUGAUUUUUAUUAAAAUGUUCAAUAUAUAUAUUUUUUUUAAUUCUGAAAUUUUAAACAUCAAAUCCAUCAGGGGAAUGAAGACAGAAGGAAUACUUGUUAGAAUUAGGUCCUGUUGUGGGAUAUUUGUAAGCUGUGUGAAAAUGUACUAUCGUGGUUGGUGUAAUAAAAGGCUGAAUGACCAAUAGUUAGGUGGAAGGUAUAGGCAGGACUUCCAGGCAGAGGAAGGUACGAGGAGGAAUCUAGGCAUGCAAGAGAUGCCCGAGGGUAUGGAGAGGAAACAGGAGGUGCCAGAUGGAAGAGAGGUAAAAAGCCACACAGUACAAAUGGGUUAAUUUGAGUUAUAAGAGCUAGUGGGGCCAGCCUAGGUUAUAGGCCGAGCUUUCAUAAUUAAUAAGUCUGUGUCCCAGACCCUUAGUCUGUGCCUUCAUGCUGGUCCGGAAUGGCUGUUUAGGUCAAGCCAUCACAUCUAUUUCAUUUGCUAGAAUAGACAGAGAGAGAGGAAGCAUACACACCUGCUUCUGAUUUAGCUUAAGGACUCAGUCACACCAGGCUUCUGACUGCAGUUUGUUGGCUAGGACUUGGUCGUUCGAUCAUACUCUUAAUUGCCCUGAUCUACUUAAGUCAAAGAUGGUAUUAUUCGGGGGUGAAUACAGAACAGACCCAGGGGCUAUUUAGCAAUCUGAGUUGUAGUGGAUUGAAUAGUGUGCCCUUCACCCCAUUUGUGUCUACCUCAAACUUCAGAACUUAACUUAAUAUGGAGACAGUGUCUGCAUGUGUAAUUGGCUGAGACUCCUGAGAUGAGGUCAUUCCGGAUUUAGGAUGGAACUUAUUUCCAAUGACUGGUGCUCUAGAGCAGAGGACACUGAGGUUAGGGAUGAGGCCAUAUGAAGAAGGAGACAGACGCAGCUGCUACGCCAGCAGCAUCUGGGGAAGGCAAUGGGGGGGUCGUGAUCUAGAGCCUUCAGAGAGAGCCUGCCCAGCUGCCACCUUCCUUCUUCCUAAACUCUGGGAGAGCGUGUUCUCAGGGUUUCCAGCCACCAGACACAUGACGAUGUGCUGUCUACACGACAGUUUGCUCUCUGCUGCUUACUUGCACUGAUUCCUAAAACUGAGGACCAACACUGUCACUAUGACAAUGAGCUGGUGUUUCAUAUCACCUGUCAUUCUUGAGGUCAUUCAGAGGCUGGCUGGGUUUGGGGUAGACUAUCUGUGGUUCAGAAUCUGGCUUCUCAUAAUCUCACCACACAACCAUGGUCUUCAGUUCUGCAUGGAAGAAAAUGGAGAUGGAGCGCAGACAAUUUCUACAUUUAUCACCUUCUACGAGGCAAGAGCCUUGCAUACAUUUUCUCACUUAAUCUUUGCGGUUAUCUUAAAUGGGUGGCAACUUCUCCACAUAACCAGUGGAGAAGCAGCAUGAGAGAGGUGGGUGUCUAUCUGUGGAUGGCAGAGACAACGUCUAGACCUGUGUCUGCCUGGCUCUCUAGUUCAAAUUCUUCCCCACAGGGGUGAUCCGACUCAGGAUAACCACACUAUUUAUCUAGAAGACUACUUUGUGCCAGAGGUCAGUUCAUUCACAGAGGGAACGAAGCUUUCCCACAUCCUCAGAGUUGGGUAAUUCAAUGAAGAUAGAUUCAACAUCUUUUCUGUACUGGGCAAUGAAAAGGAGAUGAGCUAUAUGAAACCACCCUCCUCAGAUUGCUGCCAUUGUUAAUUGUCUGCACUGGCUAGGGAUGAGGAGACUGUAGGGGACAUUAUGAGUGUCUGUGAACACUGCCCCCCUACACAUGCCACAUAAGAUAGUCAGUUGGGAAAACUUUCAGAGAAUCAGAUUCCUAGGCUCCACCCUAGUCUGUGGAAGCAUGAUAUUGAAGAAUGUGCUCCAGGACUACAUUUUAGUAAAAGAUUCAUUUUUACUUUAUGUGUGUGGGUGUGUGUUCCACCUGUAUGUAUGUCUGUGUUCCAAAUGCAUGCAAUGCUCACAGGAGCCAGAAGAAGGCAAGGAAUCCCCUGGAACUGUAGUUAUAUGUGGUUGUGAGUCAGUAUGUAGGUGCUGGGAAUUGAACCCAUGUUCUCUGGGAGAACAGCAAGUACUCUUAACCACUGAGUCAUCUCUCUGGUCUCAUGGAUUACAUUUUUAAAAAGCUCUGUAGGUGAUUCUUAUGCUGAGCUACCAACUAGGUAGCCGCAUCCAGUGUUUUACUUUCCUUAUAUAAUACCUUAAACAUUAGUAAUGAAUGGAAAUACUAGCUACAUGGAAUAAUAAGGUUAAAUGUUUUCUUAAUAGUGUUGUACCUUAUGUAUAAUUGAGGAGCUCAUUAUAGGAGAGAUGUUUAGGCAUGGUCCAUGGUCAUGCAUUGUCCUUCUAGAGAAAGAACAAUGCUUUCGACUCCUCCAAUAAAAAUGACAACAGAUGAUAAAGAGGCCAUAUAGUGUUAUUUUUAUCACUGUUCUGUUUCUUCAGCAGUCACACACAAUCCAUCUCAGGGCCUGCUGUUAGCUGCACCUUUAGCCUAGAAGGCCUGUCUCUGAGGUUCCCAAACUGAAUUUGUUCAAAGCUCUCCUGCUUAGUGAGGCUACUCCGACUGCCCUGUUUCUAUAGUUUCCCUGCAGCACCAAACCCGUUUCCAUCCCAUAGACUUCCUGGACCCCUUCCUUCUCCACCAGGAAGGAGCUUCACAUGGCUGAGAGCUUUGCUUUGUUCAGCAUCGUGUCCAAGCACCAAGACACAGAAUCCUCAACAAGUGACUAAGCAUCACACUCUCUAUCAAGUGUGGAAUUAGUAUCAGAGCCUUUUGAAAAGCUUAUAUGAAAAAUAUUUUAAUGGUAUAUUUGCAAACACGUCUCAUCAGUAUUUAUCCUGAUAAUAUUUCUGUUUUGAUAACAGGUUGAGCUAGGUCUGCUUUAAGGUGUAAUUUGUUUUGAAAAGAAAGAAAGAAAGAAAUCCUGCAACUAAAAUCCACAAGCCAAACCACAGCAUUUUACAUCUUCCUUCAAUUUGUUAAAGUUACUUUGACAACGUUGCACCAUCAUGCAAUUUAAUUAAGACUGACUAGAGAUUUCUGUUUGGAAAUAAAGCUGACGGAUUUUUUUUAA